Molecule: unclassified non-coding RNA, 2137 nt
Filed under: Hevea brasiliensis (rubber tree)
Lineage: Eukaryota; Viridiplantae; Streptophyta; Magnoliopsida; Malpighiales; Euphorbiaceae
Source: RNAcentral
GGAGGAGCGGGUGUGCAUGGAACAUUUGUAAGAGAAGAUGGUGAACAACAUUCUAAAGUCUCAUUCAUUAUCUGUCUUUUCUCUACUUCCUUGCAUACAUGUGUUGUUCUCUAUAGACUACUGACUUUUCAACAACUGUAUACUUGAAAUUGGAUGGGAUUGAUAUAUUUAAAGUGCACCCACAACCAUUUCCCAGAUUGAAGCCCUUCUCACAUUACUCGGAAUUAAGACCAAUAGUCUGCUAUGCCUCUUCUCAUGUUUAAUUUCAAUAAAUUGUUGACUUUUACUAAUUCAUAAUAGAGUUGUUUGCAAGAGUCUAAUUGUUAGGUGAAUGGAUGCCAUAGUAAAGGACAGCUGCUGAGUAAACGUUUCAUCUUCCAUCAUAGACAAAAGUUUCCUGGGACUCAUCAAGGCAUACACAUUGAUUCCAGCAACAAGAUCUAGGCAUGCGUUUGUACACUUACAUUUUUCAAUGGAACUGGGUUGGGUCGCAUGGGCGGUAACCAAAACCUCACCUAAACUUCCCUAUUUGGUUUACAAAUUUUGGACAUCAAAACCAUUAAAUUAAAGGAGAAAACCAUUUUUUUUUUAAAGCGAAAAGGUUGCUUGUAACUUUAUUUGGUUAUGGGUUAACCACAAUCCCUCUAAGUGUGAACAGUUCUAAGUCAAACGCACAGAAUCAACAUCAGUUAACAUUGAAUGAAGUUCCCAAUUUCAGCCAGAAGAAAAUCAAGUGCAAGAACAAUAGCAAAAUACAAACCUGUAAUAGAUUCAAUAUAAACACAUAAGAGAGAGAAAUAGAGAGACAUGCAUUCUUAUUUCCCUCCAACUGAUCAAACCAUAAGGCCUUAGAUACUCAUUAUCAAUAAUACAAAUAAUAAGCUUCAAUUAACUGUAAAAUCACAUGCAAUGAAAACCCGCCAAUUUAUUUUGUUAAUCAAAACUCAAAAAUUCGAUAAUCUGAAUAUUCUAAAAUGAGACAUGAAGAAAUUUUAAGGAGAACAGAAUCUGAUCAAAGUUUACUAAAAUUAAGCUUUAUUUAGAUGCCUCAAGAAUCAUCAUCAGGCAUUAAGUCAAGAAACCCUACAUGAAAUACAUGUUAUUCAAGAUAGCUUCCCAUUACCGACUUCUUGUAAGUUUUCCACCAUUUAUUCCAAAACAGCAGAAGGUGCAAGGAAACAAGAAUCUAAGACAAAGUAUAUUCAUGGAUUUACCUCCUGGCAUGACCCCUGUUCCACCAGCAAUACCUGCAGCAGUAUUUGCAACAAGAUUGCCAUAAAGAUUAGGUGUCACCAUGACAUCAAACUGCUCUGGCUUUGAAACAAGUUGCAUGCAGCAAUUGUCCACAAUAAUUUCAUUGUAUUUGAUCCCAGGAUAUUUUGUAGCGACCUCUCGACAAGAUUCCAAGAACAAACCAUCCGCAAGCUUCAUGAUGUUAGCUUUGUGCACAGCUGUCACCUUCUUCCUGUUGUUCAGGUAUGCAUACUCAAAAGCAUAUUUUGCAAUACGCUCGGAGCAGAACUUUGUUAUCACCUUAAGGCUUUCAACGACUCCAGGAACAACCUCAUGCUCGAGGCCAGAGUAUUCUCCCUCAGUAUUCUCUCUAAUCACAACAAUAUCGACAUUCUCGUGGCGCGUAGGCAAUCCAGGCAAAUUGAAGCAGUUUACAAGGGAAGCGUACAAAUCAAGCUCCUUCCUCAGCUGCACAUUUAAUGAACUAACACCUCCGCCCAUAGGAGUGGCCAGCCCUCCCUUCAAGCACACCUUAUUCUUCUUAAUUGAUUCGAUCACCUCCGCCGGAACCUUCUUCAUAUCCCCGUGCGCCUCAUACCGCUCAAAGUAAACCGGCGCGUGCAUCGCCUCCAUCACUUGCUCCACGGCACCUGUCACCAGAGGCCCGAUUCCAUCACCAGGAAUUAAGGUUACAGCGCGAGGGGCGCCAUCACCAGGGCGGGGCAUAUAGGUGACGGAUCGGCGAGAAGUGAAUCUGGAGCAUGGCGAUGGAUUCUGCGAUGAGGAGAGGAGUUUCUUCAGAACAGGAAUGGAUCUUCUGGCCAUGGAAUUUGGUUCUUUCUCUUUUCGCCGGGUCGGAGUAUUUUCCGCUGAGAUUGAAUUUAUGGUUUUCGAUUGAUUGAGC